AUUCAUUGCUAUGAAAUAAUGGUUGCUAUUAGUGUUCCAGAUGUGUGAUGGCCUCACAGUCCUCCAACGGGCAAUGCUGCAGGAGAGCUCAGGAGAGGGUGGCAGUUUGUCAAAGAUGAUCGUUCAGAAUACAAGAGUCUGGAUGCCAUUGGGGAAGGAGUCGAGUUCAAUUUGCCAUUACUUCUUCAGCAGACUAGACAGGUUUGCAAGCUCUAAAACAGCCAAGGAAGAAACAGUGCCAGGGACUCUAAGAUGGUGCCAAUUUCUGAAGGUCCUAACCUUUUGGGAAAGAAAUGAAGACAGCUGAGACCGACAGCAGCGGAGACUGACAGCAGAAGGCAGACACAAGUACUCCUUCUCUACCCCCACCCCACUGCGUCCCCACCCCCAAUACGGCCCGUUUUAAUCUUCUUACUUAAUUAGCACUUAGCACACCAAACUUGACCAGCUUGUAUAUUUAUCUUUCUCCCCUAUUAGACUGUGAGCUUUUUGAGGGUAGAACACUGUGCCCAGCUGCUAUAACUCAGUACCUAUGCUGCUGCCUGAAUAAACGGAUGAACCACACUAAAUUUGGUUUAUUGACAUUUAUCAAACAUUCCUAAUGGAAGCAGUUGACAUUUAUUAAACAUUCACUGCAUGAUAGGCACAAGUUUAAUAGCCUAUGAGUUGGGUAUGAUUACACUGAUUUUAAACACACAGAAGCUAAAUAGCCAAAAGCUACUCAGUUGGUAAAUGAUGGAAUCGAGAUUAAAAGCCAGACAAUAUGACUUCAGAACUUGGGUUCUUAACCAAUACGAGUAUGCUUUUUUUUCUCUCUUCUAAGAUUCCUCUCAGCAGUAAAAUUCCAUGAUUCUGCAGAGGGAGGAUUCGUAUAGAACUCAAAACAAUGGCAAAAUCACUAGUACGACUGUCAGGACCAGUAGGGUUUAAAAGCAAAGGGGACAGUGUAAGGAGAGGCUGCAAAAGACCGGCACAUACGGUGGAGUGAAGGAAUGUGGAAAGGACAGCGGAACACAUACUAGAGGCCUCUCUGAGGAAAUGACAUUUGAAUUGAGACUUGAAAGGUAAGUAGAU
This is a long non-coding RNA of Rhinolophus ferrumequinum (greater horseshoe bat), 1074 nucleotides long. RefSeq lists it as uncharacterized. The transcript has 3 exons. The record is from RefSeq and is a predicted model, not a curated record. Lineage: Eukaryota; Metazoa; Chordata; Mammalia; Chiroptera; Rhinolophidae.